RNAcentral lists this small nuclear RNA (175 nucleotides) under Oncorhynchus tshawytscha (Chinook salmon). RNAcentral describes it as "U2 spliceosomal RNA". It matches the Rfam family "U2 spliceosomal RNA". Rfam says of the family: U2 is a small nuclear RNA (snRNA) component of the spliceosome (involved in pre-mRNA splicing). Complementary binding between U2 snRNA (in an area lying towards the 5' end but 3' to hairpin I) and the branchpoint sequence (BPS) of the intron results the bulging out of an unpaired adenosine, on the BPS, which initiates a nucleophilic attack at the intronic 5' splice site, thus starting the first of two transesterification reactions that mediate splicing. The record is from Rfam by way of RNAcentral. Lineage: Eukaryota; Metazoa; Chordata; Actinopteri; Salmoniformes; Salmonidae.
UCCGCCCUCCACAUCGGAAACGAGACAAAUCCUCAGUUUAAUAUCUGAUACGUCCCCUAUCUGGGGACCAUAUAUUAAAUUGAUUUUUGGAAUAGGGAGAUGGAAUAGGGGCUUGCUCCGUCCACUCCACGCAUCGACCUGGUAUUGCAGUACCUCCAGGAACGGUGCACCCCCU